RNAcentral lists this ribosomal RNA (305 nucleotides) under uncultured bacterium. RNAcentral's name for it is "bacterial SSU rRNA". It matches the Rfam family "Bacterial small subunit ribosomal RNA", at positions 334 to 637 of the family's 1533-position model. The record is from RNAcentral.
GAUCCCUACGGGACGCAGCAGUGAGGAAUAUUGGUCAAUGGUCGGGAGACUGAACCAGCCAAGCCGCGUGAGGGAUGAAGGUACAGAGUAUCGUAAACCUCUUUUGUCGGGGAGCAAAAGACGCCACGCGUGGCGUUCCGAGAGUACCCGAAGAAAAAGCAUCGGCUAACUCCGUGCCAGCAGCCGCGGUAAUACGGAGGAUGCGAGCGUCAUCCGGAUUUAUUGGGUUUAAAGGGUGCGCAGGCGGUCUGUUAAGUCAGCGGUCAAAGCCCGGGGCUCAACCCCGGCCCGCCGUUGAAAGUGGC